Molecule: ribosomal RNA, 492 nt
Filed under: uncultured bacterium
Lineage: Bacteria
Description: partial 16S ribosomal RNA
Rfam family: Bacterial small subunit ribosomal RNA
Source: RNAcentral
AGUGAACGCUGGCGGUAGGCCUAACACAUGCAAGUCGAACGGCAGCACAGUAAGAGCUUGCUCUUACGGGUGGCGAGUGGCGGACGGGUGAGGAAUACAUCGGAAUCUACUUUUUCGUGGGGGAUAACGUAGGGAAACUUACGCUAAUACCGCAUACGACCUACGGGUGAAAGCAGGGGAUCUUCGGACCUUGCGCGAUUGAAUGAGCCGAUGUCGGAGUAGCUAGUUGGCGGGGGAAAGGCCCACCAAGGCGACGAUCCGUAGAUGGUCUGAGAAGAUGAUCAGCCGCACUGGAACUGAGACACGGUCCAGACUCCUAAGGGAGGCAGCAGUGCGGAAGAUGGAGCAAAGGGCGCGAGCCUGAUCCAGCCAUACCGCGUGGGUGAAGAAGGCCUUCGGGUUGUAAAGCCCUUUUGUUGGGAAAGAAAAGCAGCAGGUUAAUACCCCGCUGUUCUGACGGUACCAAAAGAAUAAGCACCGGCUAACUUCGUG